GUCUUUUUGAAUUAAAUUUAAAGUCUAACCUGCCCACUGAAAAUUUUAAAUGGCCGCAGUAUUCUAACUGUGCAAAGGUAGCAUAAUCAUUAGUCUUUUAAUUGAAGGCUGGAAUGAAUGGUUGGACGAAAUAUUAACUGUUUCAUUUAAAUUUUUUAUAAAAUUUUAUUUUUUAGUCAAAAAGCUAAAAUAAAUUUAAAAGACGAGAAGACCCUAUAAAUCUUUAUAUUUUAUUUAUUUUAAUUAUAAAGAUUAUUUUUAUUAUAAUAAAUUAAAAUAUUUUAUUGGGGUGAUAUUAAAAUUUAAAAAACUUUUAAUUUUUAAAACCAUUAAUUUAUGAAUAAUUGAUCCAUUAAUAAUGAUUAAAAAUUUAAGUUACUUUAGGGAUAACAGCGUAAUUUUUUUGGAGAGUUCAUAUCGAUAAAAAAGAUUGCGACCUCGAUGUUGGAUUAAGAUAUAAUUUUGGGUGUAGCCGUUCAAAUUUUAAGUCUGUUCGACUUUUAAAUUCUU
Molecule: ribosomal RNA, 510 nt
Filed under: Drosophila neutralis
Lineage: Eukaryota; Metazoa; Arthropoda; Insecta; Diptera; Drosophilidae
Description: partial 16S ribosomal RNA
Rfam family: Bacterial large subunit ribosomal RNA
Source: RNAcentral